Callorhinus ursinus (northern fur seal) is the source of this 3455-nucleotide long non-coding RNA. RefSeq lists it as uncharacterized. Lineage: Eukaryota; Metazoa; Chordata; Mammalia; Carnivora; Otariidae. The record is from RefSeq and is a predicted model, not a curated record.
GCAUGCCUGGUGGCGGAUGUGGGUUAUUCUUAACCAAAUGCACUUCCUCUAGUUUGUGAGGGCAAGGGGAGGAGCGGGAGCUCCAUCCUUACACUGAACUUCCCUUUCUAUGCUGCUCAAGUUCAACUCUGCUCAGCAGCCGUUCAGGGCAGGUGACUUCACUCUCCAUGUCCAGCUCCUGGCCACCAAGGCCUCCUCCCUCCUUGCCCGCUCCCCGUAGCAGCUGUGCUCAGGCAUACACCGGGCACCAGGACACGGCCACCAACAGGGAGAGGCAGCUGUUUUUCCCUUUGACAAAGAAACAAAAGAGACAAACAGAACUCAAUCACCUGCCUGAAGUUGUGAAUAAAACCUAACUGGCUCUCUAAGAGAGGACAAGCCGCAAAACAGAAUCUCGAGCUACAUCCAUGGGGAACGUUACCCUGCUGUCAUCAAAACGCAGGAUAUAAACUCAUAGUAGAAACACAAGACACCGUUGAACCUGGAAGGAAGGCCCAACUCCAUGGGCAGAACCGGCCUGUGGUCAUCUUGGAACCUCACGGCAAUGAGCUCCCAAAAGGCAGCACCUGCCCCGGGCAUAGGCACACAGGAAGAUCCCACAUGGAUUCAGAUCCCCCGGCAAGGUCCCACUGCUUGUCUUUGGAGGUAUAUUUCACAAGAGUAACUGACAUGCAGCUUCAGUGACAAGUGUCAUCAUAAUGAUGCUGAGGAUGUGUGCAAUGCACGGGUCGGCUUCCUUCUCAUCCCCGUGGACUCUAAGCUCUAAGACAGUGGGGAGUCUGUCCUGUUGAGACUGUGCCCCUAGCACCCAACGCAGAGCCUGACGUGGACUAUGGCUCCAUAAUGAAUAAAUAAACAAAGGAACAAAUGCAUGACUGAUUAGGUGGAUGAGUGAAUGGAUGAAUAAGUGAAUUUUGACCUAGAACAAGGGCAGGAUUACCUGGCCAGACAGAGUCCACCCACAGAGAUAUAGCCAGGAGCUGGCUGAGUGACCUUCAGCCUUACCAUGGGCUGUACCCUCACAUGGCCAUUAUGCAGCAGCUCUGUCCCCGACAGUAGCUGGUGAUGACCACAGAGGGUACACGUGUAGGAUGGGGGAUGAGGGUCAUGGUCUAAGGGGGCGAGAAGGAAAAGAGGUCCCCACCACCCAGGCUGUUGCUAGGAGAGAUUAAUCCAGGACAGAAAAUACCCCAAGCUGCCCACCUGGCCUUUGUCUAGAACAUAAACUCCCAGGGAACCAGGACGCCCUCCCAGAGCAGCGGCGUCCCUGGGGAGUCCAGAGCCUCCAUGGUAUUUAUUCCCUGUCACUUUGGCUCUGUUACCAGUGGCUCCGGCCAGCCCAGCCCCCGGUCUAGCCCUCCUGGUUUCUCUGCACCGUGACCCUACCCUGGCCCCAGAUAUUCCAAUUCUAGGAACCUCCCUCUUAGGAAGCAACCCAAUUAGCUCCCCGACCUCAGCUCUCUGCGCAGCCGGGCGUUAAAUCGCAGAUCCAAGAGUGGAAAUUGACUUUGCCGACGGUGGCUGUGGGUGCUGACACCAUUAGGUGGGGAGCCGGUGAGGAAGUCCUUGUCUGUUAGGAGGGCCUGCCAGGGCUGCUCUGAAUCCAGGAUUGCCUCGAUUCUGCCACUUCCAAAGGCCUUGCGGAUUCUACUGGUUCCAAACAAAUACUGAGGCUCGACCACAGUCUAAAAUGCAUUUGCUCACUCACCGCACCCAGCCGGACGUGGCCAUCCCCUCUGGUAUAAAUCAGCCUCACCGCCUGCUCUGAAAAGAUGCUCAAACACGCCAGUUCUCUUUAUACGACCUCCCCUUGGAGACUGUUUGCACCGGCAGUGGGUGCAUUCUGGGACUGACAAGCCCUUGCUGACCCCACUGCCUAGAACAUCUUUUUUCCCAGAAACCUGCUUUCUUUCUGAUUUCUCAGCCUCGGCAUGAAUGUCACUGCAGAGGAGCUUCGAGACUACCCUUUCCACCGUAGCUCACACACCCCCACUGGAUGUCCUUGCCUUACUGCUUCUCUUCUCGGGGCUCAUAGCGAGCUGAAAUCACCUCGUUUGUUUCUUGCCACCCUAUGCCAGCUCCCGGUGGGCAGGACUGAGCUCGCUGCUGUGUCCCCAGACCCAAGCCCGGUGGCCGGCACGCAGGAAAUGUACUUAAAUAGGGGCUGGAUGAGAGGGAAGAUUCCCAUGGCCCAACGAUGAAUGGAGCAGAGACCCAGGCUGAGGGGUCAGGAAGCCAGGGUUGGUGGGACGUCAAACAAGCCACUGGACCACAGGGCUUCAGCCCCCAGCCCUUGUGAGGGGAUGAGGGUGGCAGGCUGAGUCAAGUUCCCUAAAGUUAUGGAAAAAGAGCAUCUCACAGGAAGUAAGUCAUCCGCAGAGUCUACAGGAGCAGGGAAAAUCCCCGGAUCCCCUCACAGCAUGUGUCCUAGAGCUCCUAGACAGAGGCCAGGCAGAGUCUAUGGACACUGACCAGACUGUGCUGUUGUUACUACGACCGAGAACAACAAUCAGCAUAAGCAAGAAUCUGGGACACAAGCUCCCGGAGGGCAGUGACCCUGCUUCUUUCCUGCUCUGAUCCCAACAUCUGGGCCAGUGCCCGCCACAUCCAGGCACUUCAGUGCUGUAUGUUGAAAUGAAAAUGAAACUUGUCAAGUACGAAAUGAACUUGUCAAGUAGCUGGAUCUUCCAGUCUUCCAGGGGCCUGCUCCGAGUGACCUCCCUCCACCCCCAAUCUCUUCCCCUUGCAUGGGCUCCAACUGCAGCCUGAAUCACAGGGGGAUCAGUUAACACUUCAAACAGCCCAGCUGAGUAAUAAAUUCUAAAUCAGGAAGGCUGGGUUGGAGUAUCUUUCCUACCAGCAAGGGUGUGAAUCGUGCUCCGUUCAUAUUAACAAAUGUAUGUAUAGACCAACGCAGCACACAUUGUGUGGACCAAGAGCCAAACCUCAGGAGUGAUCAGAUCUUGGGGUAUAAUAGCUCUUGGUCAUGUGAAAUACUUGGAGGUGAUCAGAUAUUGUCCAAACCUGAUACCGUCUGGAGUUAAAGUAAUAGCAGUUGCUGUGGCAGCCUUCUACUGUUUAUGACUCUACCACUUGCAAGUAGCUUUGAAAUCCAUGAUCUGUGCAUUUUCACAGCAAUGCAGGGAUUGUUCCCAUUUAUGAAAGGCUGAAAGAGGUCACAUGGUGGGCGACAGUCACACCAGACCUGGAGCUGAGGUUCUCUCCCUCUCAAGGUCACAGGCAGAAAUCAGCUCACAGCCAGCUGAAAGGCAGGGAGAGUGUGCCCAAGGAGGGCAGCUUGGCUGGAGGUGAAACCCUACAAUGUUACUUUAAAGGGGGGAAAAAAAAAAGGUACUGCUUUUGACUGGUUAUUUCUGGGUGCUGGGAUUACUUUUUUUUUCUCUUUUACCUAUUUGUAUUCCCUCAAGUUUCAAUAAAUUAAUACCUGCUGCUUA